UUUCCAUUCCACUCAACAAAAAGUACUCCGUGAGAGAUCAGUGAGAGAGCGAGCUGUCAAAUAAAUAGAGAAAAAAUUUAAAAAAUUCAAUUUUGUCUCUCACACGGAGUACUUUUUUAGUAAGAAGAAACUAAGCAUUAUUUACCGUUAAAUAGAAAUCUUGAAU
Long non-coding RNA from Bradysia coprophila, 166 nucleotides. The record is from RefSeq and is a predicted model, not a curated record. Lineage: Eukaryota; Metazoa; Arthropoda; Insecta; Diptera; Sciaridae.